GAGCCAAGAACCAUGGCGAGUAGUGAAUGGGAAGUCCUCCCAAUUGGCAGAAUUGGGGUAUCAUUAAAUAAUAUUUUUCACUAUCAGCGUAGGCCUGGCUGGGUUUCAGAAUUGCUAUGCAGCGCUUUGUAUCUCACAGUCUUUCCCCUUACUUAAUGAGGAUGCUGUUGUUGUUAUCCUAUCCCUCUCCCACCAUUGUAUAAUGGGUGUAUAAGAGAUAGAUAAUUUUUAUUUACACUUACAGGUCUGCAGACUAAGAGGAGCCAUGCCCAGACAUGAUAAAAAGAUUAUGGAGCACCACUCACAGAUCCUGGACUCAACAAUGGAUGCAGUCACUGGAUGGAACUUUUGGAUGGAACUAUGAACUUUUCUGGCAUUCUUGUGGUGGGAUGGUGCCUUGUGACUAGUUCUGACCAAUGAGUUGUGAGCAGAAGUGAAGUGUGGCCAGAGCACUUAAUUGCCAACUAGAAACUUCCAGAGUUUCUUUCCCACUUCUUCAAUGAUUGUGAAGUGAUGUUCCCACAAAGCUUUCAUUCCUGAGUUCCUGAGAGACUACAGAAGGAUGCAAAUCAGAGACCUCUGCUGACUCACCUGAAAACAUGGGCAAG
RNAcentral lists this long non-coding RNA (608 nucleotides) under Homo sapiens (human). Its description in RNAcentral is "HSALNT0108598". Lineage: Eukaryota; Metazoa; Chordata; Mammalia; Primates; Hominidae. The record is from RNAcentral.